GCGUUUAGCUCAGCUGGUUUAGAGCAUCUGCCUUACAAGCAGAGGGUCGGCGGUUCGAAUCCGUCAACGC
RNAcentral lists this transfer RNA (70 nucleotides) under Prevotella sp. RNAcentral's name for it is "tRNA-Val(tac)". It matches the Rfam family "tRNA". From Rfam's summary of the family: Transfer RNA (tRNA) molecules are approximately 80 nucleotides in length. Their secondary structure includes four short double-helical elements and three loops (D, anti-codon, and T loops). Lineage: Bacteria; Pseudomonadati; Bacteroidota; Bacteroidia; Bacteroidales; Prevotellaceae. RNAcentral also lists the same sequence under 2 other names. The record is from RNAcentral.